Long non-coding RNA from Meriones unguiculatus (Mongolian gerbil), 1155 nucleotides. RefSeq lists it as uncharacterized. The transcript is spliced from 2 exons. Lineage: Eukaryota; Metazoa; Chordata; Mammalia; Rodentia; Muridae. The record is from RefSeq and is a predicted model, not a curated record.
CGCGCUCCCGGCCUGUGCGCCCGUCGGGACGCGCGGGACGCGCCAGACUCCCGGCAGCAAACUUAGACGCGCUGCCUGGGGCCCCGGCCCUGAGCAGGUAGAACUUUGAAUGUGCAAGAGGGUUAGCCUCGACUCCUUAGGAGCAGGUGCAGCCGGGAGCCCCCGACCCUUCCUUCCAGGUUUUGGGGGAGGAGGUCCCCAUCAGAAAGCAACUGGAUCUCAUCAAGACUGUUAAGGAAAAGUUGGACAGACUACUUAGAGUUAACGGCCUCAUGUUUUUAAAACUUUUUUUUAUCAUGUUGCUUACACUAAAAUUACAUAUUUACUAAAUUCUCAAAUUGUUUUACUCCAAACCAGGUGUGGUGACACCUGCCUGCCAACCAAACAUUCGGGAUCCUGAGGCAGGGGCAUCGCUGCAAGUGCAACAGCACUUUACUCGUGUGUCUGAUUGACUGAAAGAUGUUGGGAAAUGGUCUUCUCUGUACCACAUAAACAGGGUUGCAAUUGUAUGGUGUGUAGUUACCCUAAAGCAUCAGGUUAAUGUCACAGCGUUACUUACAUUUCUGCCCCGGGAGGGCACAUCGCGGAAUUAAUUUAGGAUAAACCUUAGGCUAUGCUAUCUUGAGCUACUCCCGACCAUGCAUCUUUUCCCCAGCUUCUUUCUGCCUGUUUGAAAGCACUAGCAGGGGCUGAGGAACAGGCCUGCCUUCUGCCUGUGCUGUGGGUGGAGAACUGUUUGUCUUCUUUAGGCCAAACAUGCAGAUAAUUAGUCAGUCCUGGAUCCAGAUAAGAAGAUAUAAGUAUCCCAAAUCGGAACCAGCUCUGCUUGCUUUCUCUGCCCUUUAAAAAGCCAAGUUUCCAGGACUGAAUCGCUUGCACCAGAAAGUUCUAAUGGUUUCACUGUUUUGUUUGCUGGGAUUAUCAUCUCUGCAGAUAACCCAGUGUUUGCAUCACUAAUAGACUUCUUUCAAAGGGAAAAGACAUUUCAGCAGGGUUGGAACAGGCUUCCACGUGUUUUUGUUUGUUUGUUUGUUUUUUGUUUGUUUGUUCCAUUUUGGCAGGAACUACUUCCUUUUUCAGAAAGACAGAUUUUCAUGUAAGGGUUUAAUUUGCCUUAUGGGUUUAGGCCAUAAAUAAAAAGGUCUUUUGUAAUUA